RNAcentral lists this long non-coding RNA (2290 nucleotides) under Homo sapiens (human). RNAcentral describes it as "HSALNT0390145". Lineage: Eukaryota; Metazoa; Chordata; Mammalia; Primates; Hominidae. The record is from RNAcentral.
CUCAAGCCCAGCAGCCCAGCUGCUGAGGGACAGAGGGGUGUUCACUCCUCUUUGCUGCUGCUGUUCAUCUGUUUAGAGGAGUUUGGCUCCUCUAAACAAGGGAAGCCAGGGUCACUGGUUCAGGCACUGUGAUGUUGGGGAGCUAACCAAGAGAAAAGCUUGGUGCCUGUCCACAGCCUUGGGCAGGGCUCUAUCGGUGGCUGUCUUGGUCCCCAGGAGGAAAGAGUUUGAGGAUGGUUUCCUGCAGCUACAAACAUAACUGCUUAAGGCACCAGCAGAUAAAUGAUAGAUAGAUAGAUAAAAUAGAUUUGAUAGAUUAGAUAGAUGGAUGGUGGAUGGUCAGGUAGGUAGGUGGAUGAGCAGGUGGCUAGGUGGAUGGUUAGGGGGCUGGGCAGGUAGGUAGGUGGAUGAGCAGGUGGCUAGGUGGAUGGUUAGGUGGAUGGAUAGGUAGGUAGGUGAAUGAGCAGGUGGCUAGGUGGAUGAGCAGGCGGCUAGGUGGAUGGGUAGGUAGGUAGGUGAAUGAGCAGGUGGUUAGGUGGAUGGUUAGGUGGAUGAGCAGAUGGUUAGGUGGAUGGGUAGGUAGGUAGGUGAAUGAGCAGGUGGCUAGGUGGAUGGGCAGGUAGGUAGGUGGCUGAGCAGGUGGCUAGGUGGAUGGUUAGGUGGAUGGGUAGGUAGGUAGGUGAAUGAGCAGGUGGCUAGGUGGAUGGGUUGGUGGAUGGAUGGAUGGGUAGGUGGUUGGGUAGAUUGGUGAAUGGGUGGAUAGGUAGGUAGAUGGGUGCCUAGAUAGGCAGAUGGGUAAAUGGUUAGGUGGAUGAGUGGAUGGCUUGGUGGGUAGGUGGAUGGGUAGGUAGAUAGGUAGAUAGGUGGGUGAAUGGGCAGAUGGCUAGAUGGGUAGAUGGUUAGGUGAAUGGGUAGAUGGGUAGGUAGAUGGGUAGAUGGGUGGGUGAAUGGGCAGAUGGCUAGAUGGGUAGAUGGUUAGGUGAAUGGGUAGAUGGGUAGGUAGAUGGGUAGAUGGGUGGACGGUGGGUAGAUGGCUGGGUGGAUGGGUGAAUAGGUAGGUGGAUGGGUAGAUGGGCUGGCCAGGGCUAUACCUUGGAGCAGUCAUCCUUGCCUUUGCCAACCCUAUGAGGCCCAGGUGACUGCACUCCCCUGUAGGCCCUACAUGGGCUUAUUUAUUUCAUGUUUUUGAAAAGCACUUUUUCUGUGACUUCCCCCAUUAUUAAGAUAAUACACAGUUAUUGUUUAACAUUUUAAAGUUACAGAAAAACCCAAAGACCAAUCAAAAUUCUGUGUCAUAACCAAGAGAUCACCAUUAUUAACAUUUCGGGGUAUACCCUUUUCUGUGCAUUUAUUGACAUAUGCAUCUAUUUUUUAUAAAGUUGGGAUCACACAGGACUCAUACUGCUUUAUAAGAAGCUUGGUUCACUUAAUAUUAUGCCUUGGGUACUUUUUUAUGUUCACCAAAUGCUUUUGAAUAAGAUGUAUCUUAAAGUCUUUCAGAAUUUUCCUUUUCUCCAGCUGAACUUAGCCACUUUCCUACCUGUGUUACCAUGAGCAAAUUAGCUUCAGUUUCCUCAUCUGUAAAAGGAGGGUUAACAACAGUGUCUGUGUCGGGGUUGUUGGGAGGGCAGGUGUGGCAGUGUGUGCCUGUCAGUAAGAACAGUGUCCUUUCUCUCCCUGGGGCCUGUCACACCUCCUGCCUAUAUUCACCCACCCAUCCACCCAUCUACCUAAUUCACUUGGUUAGUGUCUGCCUCAAGGGGUGCAAAUUUGGUUUUCUUCCAAGGGCACAGAUUUCUACUAAGACAGACACAGAAACACAAGGAAGAAGCUGUUUGCUCCUCUGGAGAGCCAGGGCCUGCCAGCUAUGUAGUCCUGAUGUGUGGAUGUGUCUUCAUCAUAGUGCAGGGUGAUUCUCUCAGUCAGUUCUACCUCAACCUCCACCUCCCUGGGGCGGGGAAACCCCGCAGAAGUUGGCUUCAUUUUGAUUUUUUUGUUGUUUGCCUUGUCCCCGCCCUCGCUCUCAGUGUUAAAUAUUUAACUAACUACAUAGAGGAAAUUAAGCCUCAAAAUCACCAAAAAUGCAAAGAACCCUUUGAUCAUAAAACACGUUAACUAUUUACAGGACCCUGAUACUUCCGUUGAGCCAUCUCCUUAUUCACUGCCCUCAUCCUUGUGCCACUUCCUUUUCUAACUAGAAAAGUACAAUCCUAGCUGGGCACAGCGGCUCAUGCCUGUAAUCCCAGCACUUUGGGAGGCUGAGGUGGGCGGAUCACCUGAGGUCGGGAGU